Molecule: long non-coding RNA, 871 nt
Filed under: Chinchilla lanigera (long-tailed chinchilla)
Lineage: Eukaryota; Metazoa; Chordata; Mammalia; Rodentia; Chinchillidae
Description: lncRNA (ENSCLAG00000026169.1)
Source: RNAcentral
ACUUGUUCUGGGUGGUGUGGAGGUCUGCAAUUGAAUUUUGUUCUUUUAUUUUGUCAUUUUCAGAAAUCCAGAGAUUUCCUGGAGCUCAACCUCACUCCCAGGUUGAUGUCAGAGUGCCAGGGCAAGGACCCCAAGGUCUCCAGUGCUCAGUGUGGAUCCCUCAAUGAUGGUUGCAUCAAUGGAGCGCUCCCUCACUCUAAUGAACCUGCACAGCUGGACAAGAAUUAUCAAGGGAAAAAACUACACACACGCCCAGGAUCAAUAAUCAUCUCUGGUCAAGCUUUUGUGUGUGUUCAUUUACCUGUCAUGAGCACAGAAAUACUGCUUUGAUGCUCCUAUUAGGACUCCAUUCUCUUUCCCUUUAUAUCUACUUUAAGCACAGCUUAUAUAUGUGAUUUCAAGUUUGAUGCUGAUGAAAGCUAGCUUUUCAAGUCUACUUGAUUUGUUUAAAUCACAUAUGAAAACAACAAUUCAAUUGGCAUAUUUCAAAGAAAAAAUUUAACUUUUCAACAUUUCAAGUAGACUUGGUUCAAUGAGCAUUUAUUAAAUACCUGUUGCACGCAGAUCUCUAAUGAGAAAAUAGUGAAAAAUAAUUUAUAGCAAAAUUCAAGCUAUAGCCUCAAGCAAAAAUAAAAUAAAUAAGGCCUUUUCUUGCUUGUCUUUUAGAAAAAGGACUCUUCUAUGCUUGGGCACUAGAGGUGCCAAAGGCAUAAAUGUUUGAUAACUUGAAAUAAAUCUGUCAGGAAAGAAAUUCAGCUGCAACUCUAGAGUAAAAGAGGAGAUAAAAAGGAUAUAAACCAGUCUCAGUUCUCGCUCUGGAAAAGCCUCAGAAUUUGGAAGAACUCAGGAGGCCCAGCUAAAUGAUUUUGCC